Molecule: long non-coding RNA, 700 nt
Organism: Halichondria panicea
Lineage: Eukaryota; Metazoa; Porifera; Demospongiae; Suberitida; Halichondriidae
Exons: 2
Source: RefSeq, a predicted model, not a curated record
UCGAUCCCAGGCCGAGUUUUCGCUUUUAUAAUGGUUAGGCGAACAACUGGGCCUGGUACUAGUUGUCUGCGCAUGCGUCAGUCGUUCGUCAGAUUCUGACGAAUGGAUAUUCUCGUUCACUUUUGUGACAUUUAUAUUCGUGUACUAUCGUGUACUAGAAGUCAGUUCCCGUUUUAUCAUUAUUGGAAUCGAUUGGAAUGGCUCUUAGCUGAAGCUUCUCUCUUCUCUGAAGCUUAUUCUGAAGACUGAACAACAAGGGAAGAGGUAUAAAGCUUUGUCAAGCUUGUUAAGGUCAGAUAUUUUUGUGUGGGCCCUAUGGCCGGCUAUGCUAUCAAGUCUUGUUCAUGUUUGGCAAGAAUGUAGGUAGACUAUAGUUUCAUCAUUAAUAUGGUGGAUCAAGUGAAGAGUGUGAGCUAGAGAACUUGGUGCUGCCAUCAUCAGCUCGUCGACAAUGACACUAUAACCGAGAAAUUUAAUAUGUAUAGAUCUACACGUAUUUAAAAUGUCUACUUCUCUGUACAGGAGCAAUGGCUAAUAUCCAGCUAUCCCAACAGUGCUCCUCUUGGCUAUACUAACGGACGAGACUGGACAGUUUGAGACACAGGACUGGAGUAUGACCUGCUCAUUCGAGCGUUGCUGGGUAGCUCAGAGACAUCAAGAGAAUCUACGUUUUCUCAAGCAAUGAGUUACGAGUUGGGGC